CCCUAUAAAAAAUCUAAUCUUACCAAAGUGUUCACCUCUUCCUCCUCUUCAUUUCUAUGUCACUUUUCAUGGAGUAAAUCAAGGAUCUCUUAUUCAAUCACCAAAAGCUCCAAGAAAACGUGAUUUCUAGUUACCUUAAGGCGUAAAAGUGCUUCUGGAAGCUUGUUUUUGGUGCAAUCUCGGACAGCAGCAAAGGAG
Arachis ipaensis is the source of this 198-nucleotide non-coding RNA. The record is from RefSeq and is a predicted model, not a curated record. Lineage: Eukaryota; Viridiplantae; Streptophyta; Magnoliopsida; Fabales; Fabaceae.